CGCCAGACUCCUACGGGAGGCAGCAGUGGGGGAUAUUGCACAAUGGGGGGAACCCUGAUGCAGCGACGCCGCGUGGGUGAAGAAGCGCCUCGGCGCGUAAAGCCCUGUCAGCAGGGAAGAAAAUGACGGUACCUGAAGAAGAAGCCCCGGCUAACUACGUGCCAGCAGCCGCGGUAAUACGUAGGGGGCAAGCGUUAUCCGGAUUUACUGGGUGUAAAGGGAGCGCAGGCGGCACGGCAAGCCUGAUGUGAAAGCCCGCGGCCCAACCGCGGGACUGCAUUGGGAACUACCGGGCUGGAGUGCCAGAGAGGUAGGCGGAAUUCCUAGUGUAGCGGUGAAAUGCGUAGAUAUUAGGAGGAACACCAGUGGCGAAGACGGCCUACUGGACGGUGACUGACGCUGAGGCUCGAAAGCGUGGGGAGCAAACAGGAUUAGAUACCCGUGUAUA
This 448-nucleotide ribosomal RNA is filed under the name uncultured bacterium. RNAcentral describes it as "bacterial SSU rRNA". It matches the Rfam family "Bacterial small subunit ribosomal RNA", at positions 329 to 794 of the family's 1533-position model. The record is from RNAcentral.